Cervus elaphus (red deer) is the source of this 1580-nucleotide long non-coding RNA. RefSeq lists it as uncharacterized. Lineage: Eukaryota; Metazoa; Chordata; Mammalia; Artiodactyla; Cervidae. The record is from RefSeq and is a predicted model, not a curated record. The transcript has 4 exons.
GGGGGCGACAAGUCUGUUUCCUCCCGGUCUCCGCCUGCGCCGGCUGAAACGAGUCUUUCCGGUGGGGCUGCCCAGCCGGGUCCGCCCCGCCCGGCCUCCCGGAACCCGCUCGCAGACAUGAACGACCCCGCCCGGGCCGAGGGCGAGAGCAGGCGGGUGGGUGGAGCGGCUGGAGAGGCCGGAGAGCCCGGGUCCUGGGUUCCAGCCCGGGCUGCGAGCUCUGGAGCCCCUCUUUCCGAUCCGGUGGCUCGCCAAGGGCACCCUGACCGAAGGUUUAUGUUGAAGCUUCCUGGGUGAUUCUGCGAAUCAAGGCUCCAGUCUAACCUUAUUACUUUACAACUGGGGAAACUGAGGCACACACUAUGCCAAGGCCUCACCUUAAGUUAGCCAACCACGAGGAAGCCAAGGGAAAGCCUACAAGGAGAGACCCCACGAAGGCCAGGAUUUCCUCCAGGACCUGAGUCCUGAGGGUGUGGAGUAGAAGAGAGGGGCUAGGGACGCAGGAAGGUCUGGGCACGCUGCCCUGACAGCUUCGCAGGAUCACCGCGCGGUCCCCAGGCUCACGAAAUUAAUGAGGAAAAGGCCUUUCUUUCUUCAGUCGAGGAGUAGAGAUUCCGUUUAACCUCUGCAGACAGUAAGACAGCGACCACUCUCCCUCCCAGCCUGGCGCCAGCAUGAACCCGAGGGCAUGUCAGCAGGAGCCAGGAACUGGAGGCGAAGCAUCCUUCAUUUCCUCUGCGGCAGUGGAACGAGUGAGGUCUCUGAUUGCCAGAGUCUUGUUUUUUUCAAAAUCGCAGCAUGCUGAGACCGAAAGCGGGGUACCCCGGAGGAUUCUUUUAUAUGCUCAACCUUGAGUCAGACUUGCAAUCAGCAUUUGAUCAAGAAACUUGCAAGGUAUUCUCAAACUUGGGAACCAGCCUUGAAGCCUGACAAAAUUACCUGGGAUGGAGCUCAGGACGGCAGGCCCUUGUCUUGCUCUGUGACUGUACAUGUCACUUUUCACUUAGCCAUUCAACAAAAACUCUGGAGAACCUCCUGUCUGCUUGGGCUUCUAAAUCAUGGUGCUGACACUUUAGACUAGAAAAUAACAAAGAAGGAAGCUGCCAAAUAGCAGCAUGGAAAGCUUUGCAAAAGAACUGACAUUUGAUAUGGACUCUGACAGAUGAAAAGGAGUUCCCAGGGUGGCAUCAGUUCAUCUUCUAUAAGGGACCUGGCAGCAUCCCACAGUGUGAUCCAGAGCCUGGUGGAGGGCUGGGAAUGCUAGCAGCUCCUCUAAUUUUUACUGCUGUAAACCAAAGUUUUGCAGAAGGACCCUGAAUUACAACUCAGUACUCCGGAACUUCCCUGGUGGUCCAAUGGUUAAGAAUCUGCCUGCCAGUGCAGAGAGCAUGAGUUUGAUACCUGGUCUGGGAAGAGUCCACAUGCCACGGAGCAGCUAAGCCCAUGUGCCACAACUGCUGAGGCCUGCAUGCCCAGACACUGCGCUCUACAACAGGAGAAGACCCUGCAAUGAGAAGCCCCCACUCGCUGCAGGUAGAGAAAGUCCAUGCACAGCAACAAAGACCCAGUGCAGCCAAAAA